Molecule: long non-coding RNA, 301 nt
Organism: Pteropus alecto (black flying fox)
Lineage: Eukaryota; Metazoa; Chordata; Mammalia; Chiroptera; Pteropodidae
Exons: 3
Source: RefSeq, a predicted model, not a curated record
CUGCAGCUUCUAUCAGUUUUUUUCUCUGAUGGUUUCUGUAUUGUUAAGAUGGUCCGUGGCUACAAAUAACAGUCACUUGAGUAACUCAAAUGGGAUUUUUCGCAGUAACAAAGUGUCAGUUGGUGGUGGUGACGGGCACUGAUUCAACAACUGGACGGUCAGGACCAGGACCAGCCUUUCUGUGACCGUGACCUUUCCCCAUGUGCCAGGGACAUCCUGCCUGUGCCUCUGGAGAGGAACCGCCAUGCCCAGGACCUUGGGGACCCAGCCUCACCAGGUGGCCAGGCAAGGCGGGGGAGGC